RNAcentral lists this ribosomal RNA (876 nucleotides) under uncultured archaeon. RNAcentral describes it as "bacterial SSU rRNA". It matches the Rfam family "Archaeal small subunit ribosomal RNA", at positions 31 to 913 of the family's 1478-position model. The record is from RNAcentral.
UAUCGGAUUGAUACUAAGCCACGCGAGUCAUUGUAGCAAUACAAGGCAUACGGCUCAGUAACGCGUAGUCAACCUAACCUAUGGACGGGAAUAACCUCGGGAAACUGAGAAUAAUGCCCGAUAGAACAUUAUGCCUGGAAUGGUUUAUGUUCUAAAUGAUUUAUCGCCGUAGGAUGGGACUGCGGCCUAUCAGUUUGUUGGUGAGGUAAUGGCCCACCAAGACUAUUACAGGUACGGGCUCUGAGAGGAGUAGCCCGGAGAUGGGUACUGAGACACGGACCCAGGCCCUAUGGGGCGCAGCAGGCGAGAAAACUUUGCAAUGUGCGAAAGCACGACAAGGUUAAUCCGAGUGGUUUCUGCUAAAGGAACCUUUUGUCAGUCCUAGAAACACUGAUGAAUAAGGGGUGGGCAAGUUCUGGUGUCAGCCGCCGCGGUAAAACCAGCACCUCAAGUGGUCAGGAUGAUUAUUGGGCCUAAAGCAUCCGUAGCCGGCUCUGUAAGUUUUCGGUUAAAUCUGUACGCUCAACGUACAGGCUGCCGGGAAUACUGCAAAGCUAGGGAGUGGGAGAGGUAGACGGUACUCGGUAGGAAGGGGUAAAAUCCUUUGAUCUAUUGAUGACCACCUGUGGCGAAGGCGGUCUACCAGAACACGUCCGACGGUGAGGGAUGAAAGCUGGGGGAGCAAACCGGAUUAGAUACCCGGGUAGUCCCAGCUGUAAACCAUGCAAACUCAGUGAUGCAUUGGCUUGUGGCCAAUGCAGUGCUGCAGGGAAGCCGUUAAGUUUGCCGCCUGGGAAGUACGUACGCAAGUAUGAAACUUAAAGGAAUUGGCGGGGGAGCACCACAAGGGGUGAAGCCUGCGGUUCAAUUGGAUUC